AGACAAGGUCAUCAGUGCUGCCCUGGAUCAUUAUUUAACCAGACUGUACAGGAGUGUCAAAGCAAGAGAGAUAGUCUUACGACAUUAAUUGAACUAAUAUUUGAUAUCCGGGAAACUAAAUUCAAUUUCCAUCAAUGUUAUUACCUUUAUUAUCGUUACUAAAAAGUAUAUCCUUCUUAUUCACACAGUAUGUCCAGCAGGGUACAUCGGCCUAAACUGUAGUGACAUCUGUCUACCUGGGCUGUAUGGAGUGGAAUGUCAAACAAAAUGUCCAUUAAAGUGUAGCAUAACAUGUGACCAUACGACGGGGAAAUGUUCCGACCAAACAGAAAACCCUUUAACAUCGAUGUUAACAAAUGAAAACACUUCUAUUAAUAGCAAUGCAAACAGUACUUCAUUUGGAUCAUUGUUGAAAGACACAGCAAAUAGGAAGAACAACAUCUUUGACUUAAUAACUGACAAUUCUCUUGUUAGAGAAAACAACGCAUGUCCACCCGGAACGUAUGGAUUCGAUUGUCACUCAUAAUGUCCAAUGGAGUGUAGCAGUGUUUGUGACCACACGACUGGAAAGGUUUUCAUCCAUAAAGAGAGAGACAAGGUCAUCAGUGCUGCCCUGGAUCAUUCUUUA
This is a long non-coding RNA of Ostrea edulis (European flat oyster), 628 nucleotides long. RefSeq lists it as uncharacterized. Lineage: Eukaryota; Metazoa; Mollusca; Bivalvia; Ostreida; Ostreidae. The record is from RefSeq and is a predicted model, not a curated record. The transcript has 3 exons.